UAUUUCCCGAUUCUUGUAGGAGUUAGCGGUUUGUUUGUUAGUUACUGUUUCAUUAGUAUUAUUAAUGUUCUGCUGGUAGUGAAAUGUUAUUCGUCUUUGGGGGUUUCUGGUUUUUCAAGAAAUGAAUUUAAUUCAUGUAUUUUAUUUAAUUUGUAUUUUUUUAUACCUUUUUUUAUUUUUUGCUAAGAUUGUGGGGGAUAAGCUCUUCAUUUUUUUUAUAACUUUAUUUUUGUUUACUCUUGUGGAUUUUAAGUUGGUUUUCUAUAUUAUUAUGUUAAAAUUUUAUUUGUUUUAUUUUAUAUUUGUUCUAUGUUUAAUUAUUUAUUGAGAUGUUUCUUUUAGUUUUUUUUGGGUUCCAACUAUUGUAGAAUUAGUAAAUUUUUCUUUUAGUUUGUUUAAGGGGUUAAUUUGAUUGUUAUUUUCUUUUGAGGAAUUAGGCAAGUAUUAUGUGUUCGCCUGUUUAACAAAAACAUCGUCUCUCGUUAGUUUUUGAGGUAGGGCCUGCCCGCUGACCUAUUGGUUGAAGGGCCGCGGUAUCUUGACCGUGCAAAGGUAGCAUAAUCAUUAGUUCUUUAAUUGUGAUCUGGUAUGAAUGGCUUGACGAAGUACAACCUGUCUUGAUUGUUUUGGAUUUAUUGUUGAUUUUGGUUUUUGAGUUAAAAUUCUUAGAUGGUUUUAUGGGACGAGAAGACCCUAUAGAGUUUGACAUGUCUGUCUGUUUUUGUUGUUGUUCUUGUUUUUGACUUUUUGGCUUGUUUUGUUGGGGUGAUGGGAAGUUUUUUUAAAACUCUUCUUUUAUUUUGUUUAUAUUUAUUUAUAGUUAUUUGAU
RNAcentral lists this ribosomal RNA (829 nucleotides) under Termitogeton planus. Its description in RNAcentral is "partial 16S ribosomal RNA". The stretch from base 448 to 610 matches the Rfam family "Bacterial large subunit ribosomal RNA", at positions 1791 to 2013 of the family's 2925-position model. The record is from RNAcentral. Lineage: Eukaryota; Metazoa; Arthropoda; Insecta; Blattodea; Rhinotermitidae.